RNAcentral lists this unclassified non-coding RNA (220 nucleotides) under Hevea brasiliensis (rubber tree). The record is from RNAcentral. Lineage: Eukaryota; Viridiplantae; Streptophyta; Magnoliopsida; Malpighiales; Euphorbiaceae.
AAAAAAAUUGGCCAACACUGGCUUGCCCAAGCGGCAAUGGAUUGACCUUUUGGUCACAUGAGUGGGAAAAGCAUGGUACCUGCUCUGAGUCUAUCCUUGACCAACAUGGCUACUUCGAGGCUGCCCUUGACUUGAAAAAGCAAGUAAAUCUCCUCCAAGCUCUUCAGAGCGCAGGAAUACAACCAAAUGGGGGAACAUACAGCUUGAGCAGCAUCAGGAG